UGACUGCCUGUGUGAGUGUGUGACUGCCUGUGUGUGAUUGUCUGUGUGAGUGUGUGACUGCCUGUGUGUGAUUGUCUGUGUGAGUGUGUGACUGCCUGUGUGUGAUUGUCUGUGUGAGUGUGUGACUGCCUGUGUGAGUGUGUGACUGCCUGUGUGUGAUUGUCUGUGUGAGUGUGUGACUGCCUGUGUGAGUGUGUGACUGCCUGUGUGUGAUUGUCUGUGUGAGUGUGUGACUGCCUGUGUGUGAUUGUCUGUGUGUGUGACUGCCUGUGUGUGAUUGUCUGUGUGUGUGACUGCCUGUGUGUGAUUGUCUG
Non-coding RNA from Pelobates cultripes (western spadefoot toad), 314 nucleotides. The record is from the annotation of a GenBank genome assembly. NCBI's taxonomy places the organism in Eukaryota, Metazoa, Chordata, Amphibia, Anura, Pelobatidae.